This 495-nucleotide ribosomal RNA is filed under the name uncultured bacterium. RNAcentral's name for it is "partial 16S ribosomal RNA". It matches the Rfam family "Bacterial small subunit ribosomal RNA", at positions 28 to 506 of the family's 1533-position model. The record is from RNAcentral.
GAUGAACGCUGGCGGCGUGCCUAAUACAUGCAAGUCGAGCGAACAGACGAGGAGCUUGCUCCUCUGACGUUAGCGGCGGACGGGUGAGUAACACGUGGAUAACCUACCUAUAGACUGGGAUAACUUCGGGAAACCGGAGCUAAUACCGGAUAAUAUAUUGAACCGCAUGGUUCAAUAGUGAAAGACGGUUUUGCUGUCACUUAUAGAUGGAUCCGCGCCGCAUUAGCUAGUUGGUAAGGUAACGGCUUACCAAGGCAACGAUGCGUAGCCGACCUGAGAGGGUGAUCGGCCACACUGGAACUGAGACACGGUCCAGACUCCUACGGGAGGCAGCAGUAGGGAAUCUUCCGCAAUGGGCGAAAGCCUGACGGAGCAACGCCGCGUGAGUGAUGAAGGUCUUCGGAUCGUAAAACUCUGUUAUUAGGGAAGAACAAAUGUGUAAGUAACUAUGCACGUCUUGACGGUACCUAAUCAGAAAGCCACGGCUAACUACGU